Molecule: ribosomal RNA, 497 nt
Filed under: uncultured bacterium
Lineage: Bacteria
Description: partial 16S ribosomal RNA
Rfam family: Bacterial small subunit ribosomal RNA
Source: RNAcentral
GAUGAACGCUGGCGGCGUGCCUAAUUCAUGCAAGUCGAGCGAACAGACGAGGAGCUUGCUCCUCUGACGUUAGCGGCGGACGGGUGAGUAACACGUGGAUAACCUACCUAUAAGACUGGGAUAACUUCGGGAAACCGGAGCUAAUACCGGAUAAUAUAUUGAACCGCAUGGUUCAAUAGUGAAAGACGGUUUUGCUGUCACUUAUAGAUGGAUCCGCGCCGCAUUAGCUAGUUGGUAAGGUAACGGCUUACCAAGGCAACGAUGCGUAGCCGACCUGAGAGAGUGAUCGGCCACACUGGAACUGAGACACGGUCCAGACUCCUACGGGAGGCAGCAGUAGGGAAUCUUCCGCAAUGGGCGAAAGCCUGACGGAGCAACGCCGCGUGAGUGAUGAAGGUCUUCGGAUCGUAAAACUCUGUUAUUAGGGAAGAACAAAUGUGUAAGUAACUAUGCACGUCUUGACGGUACCUAAUCAGAAAGCCACGGCUAACUACGUG